RNAcentral lists this ribosomal RNA (463 nucleotides) under Pseudomonas aeruginosa. Its description in RNAcentral is "bacterial SSU rRNA". It matches the Rfam family "Bacterial small subunit ribosomal RNA", at positions 96 to 556 of the family's 1533-position model. The record is from RNAcentral. Lineage: Bacteria; Pseudomonadati; Pseudomonadota; Gammaproteobacteria; Pseudomonadales; Pseudomonadaceae.
CGGCGGACGGGUGAGUAAUGCCUAGGAAUCUGCCUGGUAGUGGGGGAUAACUUCCGGAAACGGGCGCUAAUACCGCAUACGUCCUGAGGGAGAAAGUGGGGGAUCUUCGGACCUCACGCUAUCAGAUGAACCUAGGUCGGAUUAACUAGUUGGUGGGGUAAAGGCCUACCCAGGCGACCAUCCAUAACUGGUCUGAGAGGAUGAUCAAUCACACUGGAACUGAGACACAGUCCAGACUCCUACGGGAGGCAGCAGUGGGGAAUAUUGGACAAUGGGGAAAGCCUGAUCCAUCCAUGCCGCGUGUGUGAAGAAGGUCUUCGGAUUGUAUAGCACUUUAAGUUGGGAGGAAGGGCAGUAAGUUAAUACCUUGCUGUUUUGACGUUACCUACAGAAUAAGCACCGGCUAACUUCGUGCCAGCAGCCGCGGUAAUACGAAGGGUGCAAGCGUUAAUCGGAAUUACUG